CGCAGUACGAGUGAAUCAUCGAAUCUUUGAACGCAUCUUGCACUUUUUAGGUCUCCUAGAAAGUAUACUUGUUUGAGUAUCAUUAACAUUUACUACUUGUAGUAGCCUAACUGCUACCAGUGAAUUGAGACGUUAAGCAGGGUAAGCUGCCUAUGUCUUUAAAGUGAUACGUAGAGUGUUGUGACUUUUUGUCACAAGCCUCCUCCCAUACCAAAUGUGAGAUAAACAUCGCACAGAGUAGUUGAGAAGGUUAAGCUCUGCUACGCCUGGAAGUGUAGCACUUGUGUUGCCUUCAACCCCACUGAAUCAGUGAUCUCAAAUCAAGUAAGACUACCCGCUGAACUUAAGCAUAUCAAUAAGCGGAGG
This 366-nucleotide ribosomal RNA is filed under the name Diptera environmental sample. Its description in RNAcentral is "eukaryotic LSU rRNA". The stretch from base 311 to 366 matches the Rfam family "Eukaryotic large subunit ribosomal RNA", at positions 1 to 56 of the family's 3401-position model. Lineage: Eukaryota; Metazoa; Arthropoda; Insecta; Diptera. The record is from RNAcentral.